GACGAACGCUGGCGGCAUGCCUAACACAUGCAAGUCGAACGAUCCGUUCCGGGUUUGUGGCGCACGGCUACGUACCGAGUGGGAACCUGCCCUUAGGUUCGCAAUACCUCAGAGAAAUUUGAGCUAAUACCGGAUAAUGUCUUCGGACCAAAGAUUUAUCGCUUUUGGAUGGGCCCGCGUUGGAUUAGCUGGUUGGUGGGGUAAUGGCCUACCAAGGCCACGAUCCAUAGCUGGUCUGAGAGGAUGAUCAGUCACACUUGGCCUGAGGCACGGCCCAGACUCCUACGGAAGGGAGGAGUGUGUAACAUUGGACGAGGGAGGAAAGUCCGAUCCAGCCAUGCCGGGGAAGUGAUGAAGGGCGUAGGGUUGUAAAGUCCCUUUACCCGGGAUGAUAAUGACAGUACCGGGUGAAUAAGCCCCGGCUAACUCCGUG
This 433-nucleotide ribosomal RNA is filed under the name uncultured bacterium. RNAcentral's name for it is "partial 16S ribosomal RNA". It matches the Rfam family "Bacterial small subunit ribosomal RNA", at positions 28 to 507 of the family's 1533-position model. The record is from RNAcentral.